GGAGAGGAGAGGAGAGAGGGCUUACUCCAUCGUCCACCAGACUCGAUUGCCGCCGUCUGCAGUACUGAUCGAUUUGGUUUGGAACCGGCAGCCAGAAUUGAAGGGAGCCGGAGUCUCGGCGGAUCGGAGGUUACAUGGCGGGGACGACCCGGAUGAAGGAAGAAGGUUUUCCACGGGAGAGAGCUCCACAACAACCUUGUGCAGGGACAGGCGCAGAUGCGGCAAGAGGUUCGGAGAGGUCAGUUCGUCGCCCAGACUUUACUGGUCGCUGCCCCGUUCA
Lolium perenne is the source of this 280-nucleotide non-coding RNA. Lineage: Eukaryota; Viridiplantae; Streptophyta; Magnoliopsida; Poales; Poaceae. The record is from RefSeq and is a predicted model, not a curated record.